Molecule: ribosomal RNA, 387 nt
Filed under: uncultured bacterium
Lineage: Bacteria
Description: bacterial SSU rRNA
Rfam family: Bacterial small subunit ribosomal RNA
Source: RNAcentral
GACGAACGCUGGCGGCGUGCUUAACACAUGCAAGUCGAGCGGUAAGGCCCUUUCGGGGGUACGACGAGCGGCGAACGGGUGAGUAACACGUGGGUGACCUGCCCUCAGCUCUGGGAUAAGCCUGGGAAACCGGGUCUAAUACUGGAUAUGACUCCACGACGCAUGUUGUGGGGUGGAAAGCCUUGUGCGGCUGAGGAUGGGCCCGCGGCCUAUCAGCUUGUUGGUGGGGUGAUGGCCUACCAAGGCGACGACGGGUAGCCGGCCUGAGAGGGCGACCGGCCACACUGGGACUGAGACACGGCCCAGACUCCUACGGGAGGCAGCAGUGGGGAAUCUUGCGCAAUGGGCGAAAGCCUGACGCAGCGACGCCGCGUGGGGAUGAAGGCC